GACGAACGCUGGCGGCGUGCUUAACACAUGCAAGUCGAACGGAAAGGCCCUGCUUUUGUGGGGUGCUCGAGUGGCGAACGGGUGAGUAACACGUGAGUAACCUGCCCUUGACUUUGGGAUAACUUCAGGAAACUGGGGCUAUACCGGAUAGGAGCUCCUGCUGCAUGGUGGGGGUUGGAAAGUUUCGGCGGUUGGGGAUGGGCUCGCGGCUUAUCAGCUUGUUGGUGGGGUAGUGGCUUACCAAGGCUUUGACGGGUAGCCGGCCUGAGAGGGUGACCGGCCACAUUGGGACUGAGAUACGGCCCAGACUCCUACGGGAGGCAGCAGUGGGGAAUAUUGCACAAUGGGCGGAAGCCUGAUGCAGCAACGCCGCGUGCGGGAUGACGGCCUUCGGGUUGUAAACCGCUUUCGCCUGUGACGAAGCGUGAGUGACGGUAAUGGGUAAAGAAGCACCGGCUAACUACGUG
RNAcentral lists this ribosomal RNA (467 nucleotides) under uncultured bacterium. RNAcentral's name for it is "partial 16S ribosomal RNA". It matches the Rfam family "Bacterial small subunit ribosomal RNA", at positions 28 to 507 of the family's 1533-position model. The record is from RNAcentral.